UGGUCGGGAUAGCUCAGUUGGUAGAGCAGAGGACUGAAAAUCCUCGUGU
This 49-nucleotide transfer RNA is filed under the name Hedychium sp. RHT65849. Its description in RNAcentral is "partial tRNA-Phe". It matches the Rfam family "tRNA", at positions 1 to 46 of the family's 71-position model. From Rfam's summary of the family: Transfer RNA (tRNA) molecules are approximately 80 nucleotides in length. Lineage: Eukaryota; Viridiplantae; Streptophyta; Magnoliopsida; Zingiberales; Zingiberaceae. The record is from RNAcentral.